RNAcentral lists this ribosomal RNA (208 nucleotides) under uncultured Sulfuricurvum sp. RNAcentral's name for it is "partial 16S ribosomal RNA". It matches the Rfam family "Bacterial small subunit ribosomal RNA", at positions 1176 to 1382 of the family's 1533-position model. The record is from RNAcentral. Lineage: Bacteria; Pseudomonadati; Campylobacterota; Epsilonproteobacteria; Campylobacterales; Sulfurimonadaceae.
AGGACGACGUCAAGUCAUCAUGGCCCUUACGGCCAGGGCUACACACGUGCUACAAUGGGGCGUACAAAGAGCUGCAAUACCGCGAGGUGGAGCCAAUCUCUUAAAGCGUCUCUCAGUUCGGAUUGUUCUCUGCAACUCGAGAACAUGAAGCUGGAAUCACUAGUAAUCGUAGAUCAGCUAUGCUACGGUGAAUACGUUCCCGGGUCUU